GCCGACGUUCCCUAGCGGUCGAUGGGACGGGUUUUGUAAACCCGCUGCGCAAGCACACCGUGGGUUCGAAUCCCACCGUCGGCU
Molecule: transfer RNA, 84 nt
Filed under: Candidatus Elarobacter sp.
Lineage: Bacteria; Bacillati; Vulcanimicrobiota; Vulcanimicrobiia; Vulcanimicrobiales; Vulcanimicrobiaceae
Description: tRNA-Thr
Rfam family: tRNA
About the family: Transfer RNA (tRNA) molecules are approximately 80 nucleotides in length.
Source: RNAcentral